UACGGAGGGAGCUAGCGUUGUUCGGAAUUACUGGGCGUAAAGCGCACGUAGGCGGCUUUGUAAGUUAGAGGUGAAAGCCCGGAGCUCAACUCCGGAACUGCCUUUAAGACUGCAUCGCUUGAAUCCAGGAGAGGUGAGUGGAAUUCCGAGUGUAGAGGUGAAAUUCGUAGAUAUUCGGAAGAACACCAGUGGCGAAGGCGGCUCACUGGACCGGUAUUGACGCUGAGGUGCGAAAGCGUGGGGAGCAAACAGG
This 253-nucleotide ribosomal RNA is filed under the name uncultured bacterium. Its description in RNAcentral is "partial 16S ribosomal RNA". It matches the Rfam family "Bacterial small subunit ribosomal RNA", at positions 524 to 776 of the family's 1533-position model. The record is from RNAcentral.